CUGCGUUGUCUUUUCUCCUCGAGAGUGAUCCUGCGUGUGUUCUCAAAGGAAACAGCAGUGUUAUAGAUGGUGUGUCUCCAGGCCUCCCGAUCAGAGGCCAGAGUAGAUCGGUUAUGUUGAUCACUAUGGCCAAGGCUGAGUGCCACGGCCCGUUGGAAGAGGAAUAGGGAUGCAACACGGCACAAAGGGCUCUGGUACACUUUCCUUUAUUAACUGUCCCUGUGGACAGAGAUCACACAAGCUCAGUCUACUCAAUCUGCUUCAGGAAAAGAUAGGAAGAAAAUUUACGAUUAUCAGAAACAAUAUUCUCAACACUCAGACAGGAUGAAGAGAUCAGAGAAGACAAGAGAUGGACUGGUAUCAAGAAGGUGGAAAAAAUUCCUUCUUUUUGGCAGAAAAAUGAGGGAGGAACAUGUAUAAAGCUCUUCAGACAUCAGUAAAAAUUAAAAAGUACCUGUUC
This is a long non-coding RNA of Corapipo altera (White-ruffed manakin), 460 nucleotides long. RefSeq lists it as uncharacterized. The record is from RefSeq and is a predicted model, not a curated record. The transcript is spliced from 4 exons. NCBI's taxonomy places the organism in Eukaryota, Metazoa, Chordata, Aves, Passeriformes, Pipridae.